This 521-nucleotide ribosomal RNA is filed under the name Penicillium chrysogenum. RNAcentral's name for it is "eukaryotic LSU rRNA". The stretch from base 182 to 334 matches the Rfam family "5.8S ribosomal RNA". Lineage: Eukaryota; Fungi; Ascomycota; Eurotiomycetes; Eurotiales; Aspergillaceae. The record is from RNAcentral.
CAUUACCGAGUGAGGGCCCUCUGGGUCCAACCUCCCACCCGUGUUUAUUUUACCUUGUUGCUUCGGCGGGCCCGCCUUAACUGGCCGCCGGGGGGCUUACGCCCCCGGGCCCGCGCCCGCCGAAGACACCCUCGAACUCUGUCUGAAGAUUGUAGUCUGAGUGAAAAUAUAAAUUAUUUAAAACUUUCAACAACGGAUCUCUUGGUUCCGGCAUCGAUGAAGAACGCAGCGAAAUGCGAUACGUAAUGUGAAUUGCAAAUUCAGUGAAUCAUCGAGUCUUUGAACGCACAUUGCGCCCCCUGGUAUUCCGGGGGGCAUGCCUGUCCGAGCGUCAUUGCUGCCCUCAAGCACGGCUUGUGUGUUGGGCCCCGUCCUCCGAUCCCGGGGGACGGGCCCGAAAGGCAGCGGCGGCACCGCGUCCGGUCCUCGAGCGUAUGGGGCUUUGUCACCCGCUCUGUAGGCCCGGCCGGCGCUUGCCGAUCAACCCGAAUUUUUAUCCAGGUUGACCUCGGAUCAGGUAG